This 497-nucleotide ribosomal RNA is filed under the name uncultured bacterium. RNAcentral describes it as "partial 16S ribosomal RNA". It matches the Rfam family "Bacterial small subunit ribosomal RNA", at positions 28 to 507 of the family's 1533-position model. The record is from RNAcentral.
GAUGAACGCUGGCGGCGUGCCUAAUACAUGCAAGUCGAGCGAACAGAUGAGGAGCUUGCUCCUCUGACGUUAGCGGCGGACGGGUGAGUAACACGUGGAUAACCUACCUAUAAGACUGGGAUAACUUCGGGAAACCGGAGCUAAUACCGGAUAAUAUAUUGAACCGCAUGGUUCAAUAGUGAAAGACGGUUUUGCUGUCACUUAUAGAUGGAUCCGCGCCGCAUUAGCUAGUUGGUAAGGUAACGGCUUACCAAGGCAACGAUGCGUAGCCGACCUGAGAGGGUGAUCGGCCACACUGGAACUGAGACACGGUCCAGACUCCUACGGGAGGCAGCAGUAGGGAAUCUUCCGCAAAGGGCGAAAGCCUGACGGAGCAACGCCGCGUGAGUGAUGAAGGUCUUCGGAUCGUAAAACUCUGUUAUUAGGGAAGAGCAAAUGUGUAAGUAACUAUGCACGUCUUGACGGUACCUAAUCAGAAAGCCACGGCUAACUACGUG